GUUUUAAUAAUUUAAUUUAAAAUAUUGGUCUUGUAAAUCAAACAUAAGAAAUAUUCUUUUAAAACU
RNAcentral lists this transfer RNA (66 nucleotides) under Dyscolus arauzae. RNAcentral describes it as "tRNA-Thr". The record is from RNAcentral. Lineage: Eukaryota; Metazoa; Arthropoda; Insecta; Coleoptera; Carabidae. RNAcentral also lists the same sequence under 2 other names.